This 64-nucleotide transfer RNA is filed under the name Chrysomeloidea sp. 4 KM-2017. RNAcentral's name for it is "tRNA-Pro". Lineage: Eukaryota; Metazoa; Arthropoda; Insecta; Coleoptera. The record is from RNAcentral.
CAAGGAAUAGUUUAUUAAAAUAUUAAUUUUGGAGAUUAGUGAUAAGAAGAUUUCUUUUCCUUGA